Molecule: ribosomal RNA, 1516 nt
Filed under: Klebsiella pneumoniae subsp. pneumoniae
Lineage: Bacteria; Pseudomonadati; Pseudomonadota; Gammaproteobacteria; Enterobacterales; Enterobacteriaceae
Description: bacterial SSU rRNA
Rfam family: Bacterial small subunit ribosomal RNA
Source: RNAcentral
AGAGUUUGAUCAUGGCUCAGAUUGAACGCUGGCGGCAGGCCUAACACAUGCAAGUCGAGCGGUAGCACAGAGAGCUUGCUCUCGGGUGACGAGCGGCGGACGGGUGAGUAAUGUCUGGGAAACUGCCUGAUGGAGGGGAUAACUACUGGAAACGGUAGCUAAUACCGCAUAAUGUCGCAAGACCAAAGUGGGGACCUUCGGGCCUCAUGCCAUCAGAUGUGCCCAGAUGGGAUUAGCUAGUAGGUGGGGUAACGGCUCACCUAGGCGACGAUCCCUAGCUGGUCUGAGAGGAUGACCAGCCACACUGGAACUGAGACACGGUCCAGACUCCUACGGGAGGCAGCAGUGGGGAAUAUUGCACAAUGGGCGCAAGCCUGAUGCAGCCAUGCCGCGUGUGUGAAGAAGGCCUUCGGGUUGUAAAGCACUUUCAGCGGGGAGGAAGGCGAUAAGGUUAAUAACCUUGUCGAUUGACGUUACCCGCAGAAGAAGCACCGGCUAACUCCGUGCCAGCAGCCGCGGUAAUACGGAGGGUGCAAGCGUUAAUCGGAAUUACUGGGCGUAAAGCGCACGCAGGCGGUCUGUCAAGUCGGAUGUGAAAUCCCCGGGCUCAACCUGGGAACUGCAUUCGAAACUGGCAGGCUAGAGUCUUGUAGAGGGGGGUAGAAUUCCGGUGUAGCGGUGAAAUGCGUAGAGAUCUGGAGGAAUACCGGUGGCGAAGGCGGCCCCCCUGGACAAAGACUGACGCUCAGGUGCGAAAGCGUGGGGAGCAAACAGGAUUAGAUACCCUGGUAGUCCACGCCGUAAACGAUGUCGAUUUGGAGGUUGUGCCCUUGAGGCGUGGCUUCCGGAGCUAACGCGUUAAAUCGACCGCCUGGGGAGUACGGCCGCAAGGUUAAAACUCAAAUGAAUUGACGGGGCCCGCACAAGCGGUGGAGCAUGUGGUUUAAUUCGAUGCAACGCGAAGAACCUUACCUGGUCUUGACAUCCACAGAACUUUCCAGAGAUGGAUUGGUGCCUUCGGGAACUGUGAGACAGGUGCUGCAUGGCUGUCGUCAGCUCGUGUUGUGAAAUGUUGGGUUAAGUCCCGCAACGAGCGCAACCCUUAUCCUUUGUUGCCAGCGGUUAGGCCGGGAACUCAAAGGAGACUGCCAGUGAUAAACUGGAGGAAGGUGGGGAUGACGUCAAGUCAUCAUGGCCCUUACGACCAGGGCUACACACGUGCUACAAUGGCAUAUACAAAGAGAAGCGACCUCGCGAGAGCAAGCGGACCUCAUAAAGUAUGUCGUAGUCCGGAUUGAGUCUGCAACUCGACUCCAUGAAGUCGGAAUCGCUAGUAAUCGUAGAUCAGAAUGCUACGGUGAAUACGUUCCCGGGCCUUGUACACACCGCCCGUCACACCAUGGGAGUGGGUUGCAAAAGAAGUAGGUAGCUUAACCUUCGGGAGGGCGCUUACCACUUUGUGAUUCAUGACUGGGGUGAAGUCGUAACAAGGUAACCGUAGGGGAACCUGCGGUUG